RNAcentral lists this long non-coding RNA (1189 nucleotides) under Sinocyclocheilus anshuiensis. RNAcentral's name for it is "lncRNA (ENSSANG00000038602.1)". Lineage: Eukaryota; Metazoa; Chordata; Actinopteri; Cypriniformes; Cyprinidae. The record is from RNAcentral.
AACAUUUCUGAGGACAGAAAAGCAGCUGAAGAGGCAGCCAGAGUGGCAAAUUGCUUAUGCAGCUCAAGUUCAUGAAAUGGUGGAGCGAGGAGCAGCAAUCAAGCUCACUGAGGACAUGAUCAACGUCUGGAAUGGACCGGUGUGGUAUGUGAGCCACUUAAUUGCACCAAAUCCUCACUCAGUUACUACUCCAGUGCGCUUAGUAUGGAACAGUAGUCAGAAGUUUAAAGGAGUGAGCAUGAAUGAUCUUCUUCUGAAAGGUCCAGAUGUUCUUAAUCCCAUCAGAGCUGUCCUUCUAAGGUUUAGAAGAGGAGUUUAUGCUGUCCUCGGAGAUAUCAGGAAAAUGUACAACUCUGUAUGGUUGGAGGACAGAGAGAUGCAUCUCCAUAGGUUUCUGUGGAGAGAUAGUCAGAGUGGAGAAAUAGGAGAAUAUGCAAUCACCAGAGUUAACAUCGGUGACCGACCAGCAGGGUGCAUUGCACAAUUAGCCAUGCGAGAAACUGCAAAACUGACAAAGUUCACUCAUCUCCACGAGGAGUGUAAAGUCGUUGAAGAGGAUAGUUAUGUAGAUGACAUUUUGACAUCCCACAAUGAUCUGAAGAGAUUGAAUCAAAUAACUGAAGGUGUUGAGGAGAUCCUACAAACUAGAGGAUUUUUCUUGAAGCACUGGGUUCGAUCAGAACAAAGUUGGAAGCCUGGUGAUGGUGAGUCAAAGUCAGUAGUAGAAGACAAAAUCCUGAAACUUCCAACCCAGUUGGGGGAUAAAGACAACAAGGCCCUUGGAGUUGGAUAUAUAGCGGAGGAAGAUAAACUCUACAUCAUGACAUCAAUCAAUUUUUCCAAGCGGAGAAAGAAGAUGAGAGUUGGACAAAACCUCAAAAAGGAGGAGGUAAGGAUCAAGACUCCUGAUCCUCUGACCAGAAGGGAACUGCUGAGUGAAGUAGCUGGACUAUAUGAUCCAAUUGGCCUGGUCACUCCUGUGAAGCAAAAAGGAGCUAUCCUUGUACGAAAGGCAUUUCAGGAUGCAGGACAUGGAAGUUUGACCAAACACGCAUGGGACAAACCACUAUCAGAAAGCCUUAGAGAAGAAGCCAUUAAAGUGUUUGAGGAGUAUGUUCAGCUUGGUCAAUUAAAGUUCCUCAGAGGCUUAACACCUUCAGGUUCGAAAGGAAAACCAAAGGGAAUCACA